Ciona intestinalis (vase tunicate) is the source of this 847-nucleotide non-coding RNA. The record is from RefSeq and is a predicted model, not a curated record. NCBI's taxonomy places the organism in Eukaryota, Metazoa, Chordata, Ascidiacea, Phlebobranchia, Cionidae.
CUUACAGCUGCAGGUCGUUUUUAUAAAGUAGUCCUACAGUUGCAGGUCGUUUUUAUAAAGUAGUCCUACAGUCGUAUUACAGGAGGAGUUGGUUUUUACAAUAAGUAACAUUUUAAUUGUGUGGGGGUACGUAUUGUUGAGUUGUUCAAAAAUGAUUGUUGUUGAGUUGUUCAAAAAUUAUUGUUUUACUUGUGUAAGGGCAUCUGUUGUGCAAAAAUUAACAAUUUACUUGUGUGAGGGUAUGUGUUGUGUAAAAAAUUCGCAUUUUAAACCAAUAUUUGUUAUAUAGAUUAACGUAAAAAAAUGACAUUUAACUUUGACAAAUGCCACGGCAUUACUUUAAAAAUUGAAAAAGAAGAUGAAGAUCGGUUUAACAAAAAAAAGGUCAGGCCAUUUCAGGCUGUCACGACUCAAGCUGGGUCGUCUCACUCGAGUGGGUUCUCGCCAAGAAUCAAGGGGAAGAUUCAUCCCCCAAAAAAUUUGUAUUUUAAAAAGAAAGAAAAUCAUACCAGCAAAUACUUACAUUUCUUUAUCAUAGUUUAUGGCAGCAAGACAGAAUGCGAGGUAAGUUUAAUAUCAAUUGUAUAUGUGAUUCUUUAUUCUGCAUCGCUAAGAUUUACAUUUGAACAACACAGAAAGAAAAGAGGUGGUACAGAGGGAGAGAGCGGUGGAGGUACAGAGUGUUGGAGGUAGCGGUGGAGAGGGAGGGAGUGGUGGAGGUACAGAGGGAGAAAGUGUUGGAGGUAGCGGUGGAGAGGGAGGGAGUGGUGGAGGGAGUGGUGGAGGUAGAGAGGAAGAAAGCGGAAAGGCGAAAGUCAAUUUAAAAAAAUAUAACAAUUUAACAAAU